Molecule: long non-coding RNA, 2836 nt
Organism: Cavia porcellus (domestic guinea pig)
Lineage: Eukaryota; Metazoa; Chordata; Mammalia; Rodentia; Caviidae
Exons: 2
Source: RefSeq, a predicted model, not a curated record
UCUCUCUCCUAUGGGCACUGCGUCUGCCUACAUUAACCAUAAUCCUCUUCUGCUUAUGUCACGUAUCCGGAUGUGAUGGUAACCCUGUUGUAUUCAUCUGUUUAACCUCUUCCUGUCCCAGCUCCCGCCCUUAGCCUAUAAAAGGUGUGAUUAUUUCCUGAAUAAACCGGAAGCUUGAUCAGAUUAUUUCGACUUGCUUUCGUCUCUUUUUGUCUCCCCCAUGUCUUUUAUUUAAUCCCCGUUUCCCCUCCAGGAGUUCUGAACUUGUUGAUCUGCAGGCCGGAUCAAGUGUUGCCCAACGUGGGGCUCCAGGCACGGAGAAGUUAACGAGGGAGCCGUUCGAGAGACAGCCGGCUUAAACUGAAAGUGAAAGCAAAUUGAACCAGAGACCGCGGUCGAGGAAUGAGUAAACUGAAUCAAGGAUUAAAGCUUAAAGCAACAGGACAUUAAAUCAAGUGCCGAGACCUGCGCAGACGACUACCCGACGUCCUGCCCGAGUCACGGUGACACAUCUCCCUGGAGCCUUAUGCUGCUUAGCCAGCCUUCUUGAGCCACACCACACCCAUGGUGGAUUUUGAUCCCUGCCAAACAGACUACAACUGCUGACAGCCAUGCACAGAACCCCAUGACUGCGGAAGAGGCUCUUCUCGGUCUGGAGGAACAUACACCAGCCAAAUAGACUGCAUCCAGUGUUAUACAAGGCAUGCUCCAAGACACAGGAGAAUGACUUCAUACAGAGACACCAACAGAUGGCUGUCAACCCCUUCUCCUCGAUUGGGGAGGGGGGUUUCCCUUACCUUAUGCCCCUUUUGGGUCCCCUAGCUGACCUAUUGUUUCUCAUUUCUGUGAGUUCUUGUAUUUUUCAGAGGAUUAUGAUGUUCAUUAAUAACCGGAUAGACGCAUUUAUGGCAAAGCCCAUUCAGGUACACUAUCAUCAGCUGGAGAUGGCAGAGCAACAAACCUACUGGGAAGGAAUUCCCACAGUGGCCCAUAUGAUGAUGUGGCCUAACUGCCCUGGAGCAAUGGACAGGCAGUCAGAGACGGGCAACUAGGACAUACAUGUUAAUUCCAACGGCCACCUAAGACAGGCACAGGACCAACUGCUGUUCUGCAAGCCCAUGACGGGUAGGGCCUGGUUGGGUUCAUGCAAUGAGGUCCUUGACCUAAGACAGACGCUGUCCUCACAGGGCCUGCCAUACUCUUAAUUAAAUAAUAUAAAAAGGGAGGAGAUGUAGGGAGCCGAGUGACAGGCAUUGCUGCCUCGAUGUCUCUCUCUCUCUCCUAUGGGCACUGCGUCUGCCUACAUUAACCAUAAUCCUCUUCUGCUUACAUCACGUAUCUGGAUGUGAUGGUAACCCUGUUGUAUUCAUCUGUUUAACCUCUUCCUGUCCCAGCUCCCGCCCUUAGCCUAUAAAAGGUGUGAUUAUUUCCUGAAUAAACCGGAAGCUUGAUCGGAUUAUUUCGACUUGCUUUCGUCUCUUUUUGUCUCCCCCAUGUCUUUUAUUUAAUCCCCGUUUCCCCGCCAGGAGUUCUGAACUUGUUGAUCUGCAGGCCGGAUCAGUAAUUGUUAUUAAAAAGAGAGGAAAGGAAGGUGGUCUAAGGGAUAUAAUUGCAUGUAUGUUUGAGUGUGUAGUCUGGAAAUCUAUAUUACUGUUAGCUUUUGUUGGAUCAUUGAAUGGCACUGUCUGCAAUCUCAUUGUAUGAAUGUACACUUUAUAUGCUUUAAUUUUAUAAUUUGUACAACUGUUUCUAAGAUGACAAUAUGUAACCUAUUAACUAGUGAUAUCUUACUGUAUUUUUUUCUUGAAAUUCUGUAUUAUUUGUACCCUUUUACUGCUUUGUUUUUUUAAUUUCCUUUCUUUUUUCCUCUUUAAAUUAAAAAAAAGAGAGAGAUUAACCAAUAACAAAUGCUGGUGAGGUUGUGGGAAGAAAGAAACCCUUUUGUAUUGUUGGAGAGACUGUCUUGAUUUCUUAAAAUACAGGUACAAACUCCAUGCAUGGUAAAAUCACCAUGUGCAUGCCAAUAGAUAAUAAUACUAUGACACUACUACAUUAGAAGAACUAUCAUUCUUCUAAUGAUACUACAAUACUACAACUAAUGAGGCUCAGACACACAAGCUUACAUAUUCCAUGGUCUUUCUUAUAUGAAAAUAUCUCUCCCUCUCUCUGUCUCUCUGUCUCUCUGUCUCUCUGUCUCCCCCCUCCACAUGACACAAAGACAGAGAGAAAAGGUAUUGUGAUUCAAUGUGAACAAUGUAUCUAACUGUGUACCUUGACUAUUGAGUACAAUUGUCUUACAUGUUUUAUACAUGUUUGGACUAAGAAUAUAUUAUCUGUAUAUUUGAUAAUUAAUUGCAUAAGGUCUUAUAAGAUAAAUGCAUGAAUGUAAUAUUGGAAAAAUAGAAGGGGUGAUGGGAAGGAUGAGCAACAGAAUUUGAAUGUUUACAUACAUGUACCAAUCCCAUAAAGUGAAUGUAAUAAUUAUCUACAGCAAAUAUAUACUAAUAAAAGUAAAAAUAACAAAGCAUUUGAAGAGACUGGACAAAAGUUCAAAAGUAUAAAACUAUUUUUAGAAAAUGUCAUCUACCUUAAUAUGUUUGGUGCCAAUGGUAACUUGAAAGACUAUUUAAAAAGGAUUGGCCUUUUCCAGUUUGAUUCACAACAUUCUAUAGUGAUUUCUGGUUAAUUUGUAUACUUGUAUAUUUGUAUAAUUUGUAUAUUUGUAUACUUUGCCAGGGCAAAAAAUAUUAAAUGUUUCACAAUAUAGAAACAGCAAUUUAUAAAACUGCUGGAAAGAAGAAUUAUGCUAAUAAAGACAAUGUAAACUAUUAAUCCA